UGGUUUCUGGGUACGCGUCUGCGUGUGGAAAAAUUCUAGAAUGCAACGAGUAUAUUAGUGACGUGGCGUAACAAAUCAAUCAAAUUAAUUUUUUUAAAAAUAUAUGUCCUAUCAUAAUUGUAAAAAAGUAUUUUUAUUGUACUUUUAUUUGAAAAAAAAGAAUGUGAUUGGCUUGUUAUUGAUGACGUAGUGCAAGUGUGGCAGUAUAGAAUUCCUCCUGUGUGAGUCCGAUACAAACAACGUGGAGAAGCUGUAUAGGCGCGUGUUUUGUGCGGUACACCGAGAAACGUUGUGUGAGCCACGUAUACCACCUCCGGUUUCCUGUUUCCGGUUUCCGGUUUCCGGUUUCCCCUAACGGAAGUAACCGACGCAAGAGUUGAAACGUCCUCUGAGGUUGUUUUCUAUUGGGACGAGGUAAUAGUUAUUUGGAUAGACCACGUGCAGUGGACCCUCGGUUUUGUUUGAUUCACUCACCCCUUUUAUUUAAACUAUGAAAUCGGAAUAAAAUUCACACAUUUCGAUAAUUAUCAUUUAUUCUAUAAAAAUUAUAUUCUGAUUCCCAUUCUACUAGAAUAAAAAUAAAAUUAAUUUAUUUAUGAUUCUCCUUGUACAAACCACUCAAAAUCCCUUUUUAUAAAUACCUCUCUCGCCUCACCCUUAACUAGAACUCCACUCUUAAAAUUUUAAAUAAAUAUUUCAAUUGUCUAUUCUGAUUUCAAUUUCAAAAAUGAACCAAAUAUUUUUCAAUAAUUCAUUUUUUCAUUAAUUUUCUAUUUCAAUAUAAUCUGAUUUUAUUUCUCACUGUUAUUCUAAUCAUGAACCAAAAAUGUACAAUUAUUUGAGUCGACUAAAAUAUUGUUAUUAUAAGUUGGUGAUAUGUUGUUAAUACUAUGAAGAUCUUCUUAAAUAGGUGCGUAGCUUUUUAUAUUUUAUAUACAUAUAUCAAUAUUGAUAAAUUAAUUAACUAUCUAUAAAUACAACAUUUUACAAGGAUCAAUAUCAUUACUUUGGUUUGAAUUCACAUUCGGAGACAAUUUUUUAUACCAUAGCUACGUAUUUCAUGCAAGAAUAAAAAUAUUUAUUUUAAUAGAAAAUUAUUAUAUUUUAUCUUUCAUUAAAUUGAUACGAUCUCCACUGAAACAAAUAGAGUAUUAAUUUGGGUUAUAUCACGCGUGCCAUCUCUUAAGUGUGUGGAGUCUAUUAUUAUAAAAUUAGGUUAAUUGAAUACAGAUUUUCGCAAACAUAGUGAAUUACAGAUAUAUUUCUGUAAAGUUCAACUUUUAUAAGUUAUCUCUGUAAAAGUCCUAAUGUUUUUAUAUACGUCCAUCUGGUUCGUUACCGUUAAAGAACCGUUAGAAAACUAUUUAUAUUUUCAAUUUUGCCAUCACAAAUAUAUCCCUUCAAAAGUUAUAACAGUAUAAUAUAAGAGAGGUAAAAAUGUCAAAAAUUAACUCGGGUAGAGUUUUUAACCUAUGGUUAACUAAACUUUUAUAACGGAUUCUAACGGCAAGAACAUAUCUGAAAAUAUUAGAACUUUUGUAGGAAUAACUUAUGAAAGUUGAAUUUUACAGGAAUAUAUCUGUAAUUCACUAUAUUUGUGGAGACCUAUAUGCAAUUGACCUUAUAAAAUUUGUGUAAAAUAUUUUUGACAAUACACAUAAAUAUCCAUCCUUCAC
This 1676-nucleotide long non-coding RNA is filed under the name Ananas comosus (pineapple). RNAcentral's name for it is "long non-coding RNA (ACOM_LNC024769)". The record is from RNAcentral. Lineage: Eukaryota; Viridiplantae; Streptophyta; Magnoliopsida; Poales; Bromeliaceae.